AGACGACUCUGCCGCUACUGUCCAUCAACUUUUCUCCUUUUAUAAGAAUUUAUAAGGAUUAUGGGUGGAAAAAAAAAGAAUUGUAGGUCUAAUUGAUGUACAGUAUCUCACAAAAGUGAGUACACCCCUCACAUUUUUAAAAUAUUUGAUUAUAUCUUUUCAUGUGACAACACUGAAGAAAUGACACUUUGCUACAAUGUAAAGUAGUGAGUGGACAGCUUAUGACCCCGUCUCUGUGCCGCCCCCUGCAGGCUCUACCUGGUUCAACAUCCUCCGAGGGUUUUUAGAGGUUUUAGGGGGUGUGGUUGCGGGCGUGGCUCUCGGGUUCUUCCUUCGUUAUUUUCCCAGUGAAGACCAGAAAGGUCUGGUGCUGAAGCGUUCCUUCCUGCUGCUCGGUCUCGGUGUGUUUGCUGUGUUCGGCUCUAACGUGGCCGGAUUAACCGGGUCUGGAGGACUCUGUACGCUCGUCCUCGCGUUCCUCGCUGGAACCGGCUGGGAAAAUAACAAAGUACGAUUCUCUCUCGCAAAAAACCCCAAACACCAGGUCACUUUCUGCACAGCUCUUUCUUUAUGUAAAUAUAUUUUCUGCAUGUAGAUAAUAAAUCGUUUUAUUUUCCUCUUCACUUCUCUUCAUCCUUUUUUCUGCUUCUUUUUCCCUUUUUCUUUUUUAUUUUCUUUCUUUAUUCCAUUUCUUUUUUCCAUCACUGAAUUACUAAUUGUUAACUGAAUUUACUUGUUACUCUUCCAAUUGUUUCUUUUCUUUCUUUUUAAAUUUUCCUCUGCUUUCUCCUUUUUCUUACUUUCCUUUUUGUCCUUUUGCUUUGGUUUCUUGUUAUUGUCUUUUCUUUGUUUGUCCUGCCUUCUCCUUUAUCUUUUCUCUUUAUUGUUCUUUUAAUUUCCUUUCUUUUAAAUUUUUCUUUUGCUUCUGUUUUUCAUUAUGCCUUGCUUUAUUUCUUUUAUUUAUUUUGUUUUCUUUGUGGUUUACUUUUUGCUAUCCUGCCUUGAAUUCUUUUUCUUUCUUUCUUUCUUUCUUUCUUUCUUUCUUUCUUUCUUGUGUGUGUGUGAGUGUGUUUGUGUGUGUGUGUGUGUGUAUGUGUCCUCAGCUCUGGGUCUGGCCACUCUCAGCAUUGCCCUGAGUGUGAGGAUCUUCUUCACCUUCCUCAUGGUGCUCUGCGCUGGAUUUGAUUUGAAAGAGAAGAUCUUCAUCGCUCUGGCCUGGAUGCCUAAAGCCACUGUUCAGGCUGCGAUUGGCUCGACGGCUCUGGACACGGCGCGUGUGAAGCAGGAUGAGGAGUGUCAGCGUUUUGGUAUGGACGUGCUGAGCGUGGCCGUUCUCUCCAUCCUCAUCACUGCUCCACUCGGAGCGCUGCUCAUCGGCCUGUGUGGACCACGCCUACUGAGGAGACCCAAGAACCCCGAGUGGGCUGUAAGUCAGGGUACUCUGUCGCCAUCAGAUGCCCGGGUCACCUACGAGAGUGCAAUCUGAUACUUGUGGAACUUUCCAGAACAGGCAGUCAGAAGAUCAGUACCUCAAACUCUGGCUUUGUGACUCUCCUGUGACUCUUCUACAACUCUACGAUUCUUCUCUAACUCUAUUUUGUCUCCUCUGUGACUCCCCUGUGACUCCUUUAUGACUCCCCUGUGACUCCCCUGUGACUCCUCUGUGACUCUCCUCUGUCUCUCCUCUGUCUCUCCUCUGACUCUCCUCUGUCUCUCCUCUGUCUCUCCUCUGUCUCUCCUCUGACUGUCCUCUGUCUCCUCUAUGACUCUCCUCUGUCUCUCCUCUGUAACUACUUUUUUUUUCUUUUUUUUUGUAAAAGAAUUUUGACCAUAGAAUUUUGCAGGUUUGUUAUGUAUACACAUUGCUCUUGAUUAUUUUAAGACCUUUAUUUUUUAAUUUAUAUUUCUAAAGAGACGACUGAAAGUGGAAAAUAUAGACAAACACAAUUUCUAUUUAAGUCUAACACACUUAACGUUCAUUACACUGUUUUAAAAUGAGACUGAAAUCUGAAAGUGACUUCCUCUAUCCUCUCUGAGAGACCACACGGGUAACACAGACCAAACUCACCCAACUAUUCUAAAGACUUUGCUCGAGCGUGAGACUCUUCUGAUUGUUCAUCUACCUGUCAGGUGAGUUUAUCUUUCCGAAUAUCAAUUAGACAAAUGUUCAGAAGGGCUGUUCGUCAUGAUUGAGAGAUUUUAUGAGACUAGCAGUGUUUGCGUUUCUAUAAGAACACUGUAGAUUUAGUAAUUUUAAAUUAGUGCACAGGUUUAAAAUGACUCUCUAUUAUUAAUCACUUUCACCUUUGUCAUGAAUAACUUUUUUUUAUAGUAAAGCUUAAUAUUUACAGCUGCAGUUUAUUCAGUUGUGUAGGAAAAGUGAAAACUUACAGCACAGCAGGAGAAAAGCCUGAAGAUUCCUGAUUUCUGCUAAAAUAUUUAUCAUUUUCAGAAGCCAUAGAAAGGAUUCCUCCACCAUUUUCCCCGUCGUCCUGAACGUCAGCGUCUCUGAAGAGUUUUGUGCACAGUGCAGUUUGCCAGUUCACUCAUGGAGCUGCUGCUGGGGUAAGAGUCUUUAUUAGGCUCCAGAUCCUCUGUGACUCUGAGAAAGCUCUUACUGAAAGUGAGUGAGGCAGUGCUGCCCCCUGGAGGCUCUAACAUGCUCCGAGGGAUUUCGGAGGUUCUAAAUGCCAUGUGUGGGUGAAUCAAGAUCCAUCCUGAUGCUCUACUUCUGCUUGGAGCUUCUGCCCUCUGAGACUCACUCACUGCUGCUGAGGGUUGGCCCACAUGUGUAGCCUAAAGAUUCUGGAGAUUUAAAGCUUAAAACUCUUCUGUAAUUAAUAAAAGACCCUCAUAAUAAUGACGAUCAUAAUGAAACCAACCAACGAUGACCUCGGACAUCAGAGGCCUGGCUUGCAGCAGUCUGGACGGUUGCUGUGUAGAUCACCUUCAGGACUGGCUGACAGCAAGAUCAACACCGACGUCAUAUAAGGAAUUCAUUUUUAAAUAUAUGUGGAUAGUUUUGACAUGUUCUCUGUUAAGCUCAAGAGAUCUCAAGUUGAGCAGAGCUGAAGUUUUGCAAAAGCUGGGAUUGAAUAUACGUGAGCCUCGAGGAGACGAAGAUGGUGGGGUUUUGGCGGAGGUCAUUUUAAAAGACAAAGGUGCUAUGACACAUGAUUUUCUUUGUGGGAUUUGGUGGCUUUUUUUGCAGUUCUAUUUAAGUGUUGAUGUGAUUGAACAGGGUGUGCAGUAAUCAGGCGUGGUUGCGUCUAGUCCAGCUGAACCCCAUUAUGAACGCAGUUUCAUAGAUUUGGGGAAUUAGUAACUAUGGGGGCAAAUACAUUUUCACACAGGCCCAUUGGCCCCUUGCACAGCAGUGAAAGGUCAUUAAGGUCAUCUGAUCAAGGUUUACUCUCCCUGUCUAGGGCUAGGCUGAAAAUAAAAGGUGAUUGUGCUUUUUCAGCUUAUGCGGUAAAUUAUUAAAGUAAUGUGCUUCUGUAAAGCCUUCCGUUAUAUAUUUAAUGUUCCUGCUCAACUGAGGUGUUCGACAGCAUCUUACAACUCAUGUGUUUACUAUUACUUUUAAUUCUAUUUUACUUUAUUAUUAUUAUUAUUAUUAU
Molecule: long non-coding RNA, 3620 nt
Organism: Ictalurus furcatus (blue catfish)
Lineage: Eukaryota; Metazoa; Chordata; Actinopteri; Siluriformes; Ictaluridae
Exons: 4
Source: RefSeq, a predicted model, not a curated record